This 516-nucleotide ribosomal RNA is filed under the name uncultured bacterium. RNAcentral's name for it is "bacterial SSU rRNA". It matches the Rfam family "Bacterial small subunit ribosomal RNA", at positions 8 to 500 of the family's 1533-position model. The record is from RNAcentral.
AGAGUUUGAUCAUGGCUCAUAACGAACGUUGGCGGCGUGCUUAACACAUGCAAGUCGAACGAGAACGGUUCCUUCGGGAACUCAGUAAAGUGGCGCACGGGUGAGUAACGCGUAAGUAAUCUACCCUUGCAUUUGGAAUAACUACGGGAAGCUGUAGCUAAUACCAGAUACGUUCUCUUGUCUACGGACUUGAGAAGAAAGAUGGCCUAUUCUUGAAAGCUAUCGUGCAGGGAGGAGCUUGCGUACCAUUAGCUAGUUGGUAGGGUAAUGGCCUACCAAGGCAACGAUGGUUAGCGGGUCUGAGAGGAUGAUCCGCCACACUGGAACUGGAACACGGACCAGACUCCUACGGGAGGCAGCAGUGAGGAAUAUUGCGCAAUGGGGGAAACCCUGACGCAGCGACGCCGCGUGGAUGAUGAAGGCCUUAGGGUCGUAAAAUCCUGUCAGAUGGGAAGAAAUGCAUAUAGCCUAAUGCGUUAUGUGUUUGACGGUACCAUCAAAGGAAGCACCGGCUAA